This 502-nucleotide ribosomal RNA is filed under the name uncultured bacterium. RNAcentral's name for it is "partial 16S ribosomal RNA". It matches the Rfam family "Bacterial small subunit ribosomal RNA", at positions 28 to 523 of the family's 1533-position model. The record is from RNAcentral.
GAUGAACGCUGGCGGCGUGCUUAACACAUGCAAGUCGAACGAAGCACCUUAUUCUGAUUUCUUCGGAAUGAAAAAUUUGGUGACUGAGUGGCGGACGGGUGAGUAACGCGUGGGUAACCUGCCUCAUACAGGGGGAUAACAGUUAGAAAUGACUGCUAAUACCGCAUAAGACCACAGUACCGCAUGGUACAGGGGUAAAAACUCCGGUGGUAUGAGAUGGACCCGCGUCUGAUUAGGUAGUUGGUGGGGUAACGGCCUACCAAGCCGACGAUCAGUAGCCGACCUGAGAGGGUAACCGGCCACAUUGGGACUGAGACACGGCCCAACCUCCUACGGGAGGCAGCAGUGGGGAAUAUUGCACAAUGGGGGAAACCCUGAUGCAGCGACGCCGCGUGAGGGAUGACGGCCUUCGGGUUGUAAACCUCUUUCAAUAGGGACGAAGCGUAAGUGACGGUACCUAUAGAAGAAGGACCGGCCAACUACGUGCCAGCCGCCGCAGUAA